This 440-nucleotide ribosomal RNA is filed under the name uncultured bacterium. Its description in RNAcentral is "partial 16S ribosomal RNA". It matches the Rfam family "Bacterial small subunit ribosomal RNA", at positions 338 to 795 of the family's 1533-position model. The record is from RNAcentral.
CCUACGGGAGGCAGCAGUGGGGGAUAUUGCACAAUGGGGGAAACCCUGAUGCAGCGACGCCGCGUGGGUGAAGAAGCGCCUCGGCGCGUAAAGCCCUGUCAGCAGGGAAGAAAAUGACGGUACCUGAAGAAGAAGCCCCGGCUAACUACGUGCCAGCAGCCGCGGUAAUACGUAGGGGGCAAGCGUUACCCGGAUUUACUGGGUGUAAAGGGGGCGCAGACGGCGAGGCAAGCCAGGAGUGAAAGCCCGGGGCCCAACCCCGGGACUGCUCUGGGAACUGCGUGGCUAGAGUGCAGGAGGGGCAGGCGGAAUUCCUGGUGUAGCGGUGAAAUGCGUAGAUAUCAGGAGGAACACCGGUGGCGAAGGCGGCCUGCUGGACUGCAACUGACGUUGAGGCCCGAAAGCGUGGGGAGCAAACAGGAUUAGAUACCCUUGUAGUC